RNAcentral lists this ribosomal RNA (465 nucleotides) under uncultured bacterium. Its description in RNAcentral is "partial 16S ribosomal RNA". It matches the Rfam family "Bacterial small subunit ribosomal RNA", at positions 338 to 795 of the family's 1533-position model. The record is from RNAcentral.
CCUACGGGAGGCAGCAGUAGGGAAUCUUCCACAAUGGGCGAAAGCCUGAUGGAGCAACGCCGCGUGGGUGAAGAAGGUCUUCGGAUCGUAAAACCCUGUUGUUAGAGAAGAAAGUGCGUGAGAGUAACUGUUCACGUUUCGACGGUAUCUAACCAGAAAGCCACGGCUAACUACGUGCCAGCAGCCGCGGUAAUACGUAGGUGGCAAGCGUUAUCCGGAUUUAUUGGGCGUAAAGGGAACGCAGGCGGUCUUUUAAGUCUGAUGUGAAAGCCUUGGGCUUAACCGGAGUAGUGCAUUGGAAACUGGGAGACUUGAGUGUAGAAGAGGAGAGUGGAACUCCAUGUGUAGCGGUGAAAUGCGUAGAUAUAUGGAAGAACACCAGUGGCGAAAGCGGCUCUCUAGUCUGUAACUGACGCUGAGGUUCGAAAGCGUGGGUAGCAAACAGGAUUGGAUACCCUUGUAGUC